CUUUGCACUUUUUAUCCCACUGACCUGUCAGAGGCAGGUGCGAAGUCUGCUGUUGAAAAGACGAAGAGAUCUACUUUAGCUACCAUUCGGAGGGAAGGUGUUCCUGCAUUGUGGAAAGACCAUCCAGAAGAUUUCUGUGUGAAGUGAAGGACAGUGUCAUGGGAGUGUGUGUGGUGUGUUGAAGUUGUUUCACACAUACACAUAUUAAAACCACCAGACAAAUUAGGGGGCUGAAUUUGGGUCCAGUUUGUAGCUCCAACACCUUAGGACAACCCUGUGGUUGUACUUUAAAAUGAAUACAUGAAUUGAUGGAGUAAAUAAUCCAACUAAAAAUGGUAAGUUGCUGUUGUGGUACAAUAUAUAUAUUCUGAAGUUAACCAGUUGGUCUGCUCACUCCAGAAUGUGUCCACAUAGCAUCUCCCUCACUAACACAACUGACAGUUUCCACAUCCCAGGAUGUCUUGUUUAGAUCCCUCUUUUGUUACCCUGUUUUAAAUUCCUGUUGCUAUUCCCGUAGGUUCUUCGCCCUUACCUGGCUUCAUCCUUCCUUCAUUUAGACCAUGAUCAGCCUGAGCAACAAAGGUUUUCAUCCUGAGAUGCUUGGAGUUCUGGUUGAAUUGCCUACUCCCAACAAACAUUCCAUUGAAGAGGUUGAAACUGGGAAGCCAAGUCCUAUAUACAAUGCCUUUACCUAGAUGCCAACAUCUCAUGUUACGCCACAGCUGCUGUGGAACAGUCCUACCACAAAAGUACACAAAGUGCAAUGAGCAUUGCCUCUGUCUUGGCUCAAGAUCAUUGCCCGGGGUUGGGCCAAUUUGAAAUCCCCUUCCCUUCUCAAACAACUAUCUAAAUCGAAGAGUUGACACCAAAGUUUCCUUGAGCUUUGUUGGGGAAAAAAGAAAACUCAAAGGCAAUUUUCAUUGGAUGAACACUCUUGAUCUGCCACAUCUGGGGCUAAAAGAAAACCGAGCAGACACUCUGGGAAUCCUGAGGGGCUCGGCUCAAUUGGAAAAUGCUGGGAAAGCGUUUACCAGAACAGAUUAUGCUGAGAGUACGUUAAGAGAAAUUACACAGCCGAUGCUCCUUGCUCCAGAGAUACGUCUGUAUUCAUUUAACUCCCAGCUUAAUGGAGACGUACAAGUGGAAGAUAGGAAACACUUUGUCUCGGUGCCAAGGAAUAUAUAAUAAACUGUUUUUCUCAGAUGAAAAGAUAACGCAGGUAUCGCUGUGAUUCCUACAAUGUUUAAUCCUUUCGGAAGAGAUACUUGCAGAUAGCUCAGCAGCUCUUCUGCACCGUCUCCGCUCCAUGAGCUGAAUGCAAACUAAGCUCUUUAAAAAUCUCGCUUCAGAAGCGGUCAUUAAUGCACGACAUUUGAGUAAUAACAAGCAUAAUAGGUGAAAGUUUUUCCAAAGUCUGAAGAUACAAGCUGGGGGAAGGAAAGCCCACUUUCUUUCGGCUCUUGUGUUCCGUUGAAACUAUAAACAGGUUUCCUGCUCUGUUCUCCGACGCUCAAAACACAAAGCAGCUGGCUCAGAGCGCCGCAGAAAGUGGUGGAAAAUUAACAGCGCUCUGGUUUAAUUCACAUGUAAAGAGCCGUUGGAGACAAAGGCAAGUGUUUGAGAAGCAGAUUGCGCGUCUGCUUUUCUCUCGGAACAUCGAGCCACCCUCCCUCGUUCCCUCGGCCUGUUAGCCGGUGAGGGAGAGAGAAAACAGCCCAAAAUGCAGUAACACAAAGGCAGCGCUAGCCCUCCAUCGCCGGCUUACUAAUCGUGGCUCUUUGUUGUGCUCCAUGCAUGCCUGUCCCUGUCACAUGACUGUGUUGCUAUGGCGACGGAGGUCUGAGUAAUCAUUUGCGCAAUGACCUUUAUUCCCUGGAGGGGGGGUGCGUGGUGGAGGGAGAGGGGGGGCAGAGGCUGGAAUGAAAGCGGAGCCAGCGAACGAGGGAGAGGGAGCAAGAGAGACGUGUUGGGGGGAGGAGGGGCGGCGAGCAGCCGAGCGAGGCUGUAGGGACAAACAAAAACGGGCGGAGGGAAAAAAAGAAAAGGCUCUCUUUUCUCUCAGCAGCCGAAGAUCCGUUGGGUUUGCUUAGAUAACGAACGGAGAGACCGAAUAAAAAAAAGGGGGCAGAAAGGAUUCGGUGAAAG
Long non-coding RNA from Scleropages formosus (Asian bonytongue), 2145 nucleotides. Lineage: Eukaryota; Metazoa; Chordata; Actinopteri; Osteoglossiformes; Osteoglossidae. The record is from Ensembl.